AAUUCGAUUGAGUUUGAUCAUGGCUCAGAAUCAACGCUGGCGGCGUGCCUCAGACAUGCAAGUCGAACGCGAAAGUCCCCUUCGGGGGACAAGUAGAGUGGCGCACGGGUGAGUAACACGUAGGUAAUCUACCUUCGGAUGGGGAAUAACAAUCGGAAACGAUUGCUAAUACCGCAUAAUGCAGCGGCACCUAAUGGUGACAGUUGUUAAAGCGGGGGAUCGAAAGACCUCGCGUCUGAAGAGGAGCCUGCGGCGGAUUAGCUAGUUGGUAAGGUAAUGGCUUACCAAGGCAACGAUCCGUAACCGGCCUGAGAGGGCGGUCGGUCACACUGACACUGACAUACGGGUCAGACUCCUACGGGAGGCAGCAGUCGGGAAUUUUGGGCAAUGGGCGAAAGCCUGACCCAGCAACGCCGCGUGAAGGAUGAAAUCCCUCGGGAUGUAAACUUCGCAAGAACGGGAAGAAUAAGUAGGGGACAAUACCCCCUAUGAUGACGGUACCGUUUGUAAGCUCCGGCUAACUCCGUGCCAGCAGCCGCGGUAAUACGGGGGGAGCAAGCGUUGUUCGGAUUUACUGGGCGUAAAGGGCGCGUAGGCGGCCAGCACAAGUCAGUUGUGAAAUCUCCGAGCUUAACUCGGAAAGGUCAACUGAUACUGUGCGGCUAGAGUGCGGAAGGGGCAACUGGAAUUCUUGGUGUAGCGGUGAAAUG
This 710-nucleotide ribosomal RNA is filed under the name uncultured bacterium. RNAcentral describes it as "bacterial SSU rRNA". It matches the Rfam family "Bacterial small subunit ribosomal RNA", at positions 1 to 688 of the family's 1533-position model. The record is from RNAcentral.